RNAcentral lists this ribosomal RNA (444 nucleotides) under uncultured bacterium. Its description in RNAcentral is "bacterial SSU rRNA". It matches the Rfam family "Bacterial small subunit ribosomal RNA", at positions 338 to 795 of the family's 1533-position model. The record is from RNAcentral.
CCUACGGGGGGCAGCAGUGGGGAAUUUUCCGCAAUGGGCGAAAGCCUGACGGAGCAAUACCGCGUGAGGGAUGAAUGCCUAUGGGUUGUAAACCUCUUUUUUCAAGGAGGAAUAAAAUGACGUGUACUUGAAGAAUAAGCAUCGGCUAACUCCGUGCCAGCAGCCGCGGUAAGACGGGGGAUGCAAGUGUUAUCCGGAAUCACUGGGCGUAAAGCGUCUGUAGGUGGUUAAAUAAGUCAACUGUUAAAUCUUGAGGCUCAACCUCAAAAUCGCAGUCGAAACUGUUUGACUAGAGUAUAGUAGGGGUAAAGGGAAUUUCCAGUGGAGCGGUGAAAUGCGUAGAGAUUGGAAAGAACACCAAUGGCGAAGGCACUUUACUGGGCUAUUACUAACACUGAGAGACGAAAGCUAGGGUAGCAAAUGGGAUUAGAUACCCGGGUAGUC